UAGCGUAAUCACUUGUUCUUUAAUUGAGGACUAGUAUGAAUGGCCCCACGAGGACUAAACUGUCUCCUUUUUCUAAUCAAUGAAACUGAUCUCCUCGUGAAGAAGCGAGGAUAGAUAUAUAAGACGAGAAGACCCUAUGGAGCUUUAAACAACCGGGAUACUUGCUAAUUCUUAAUCCAUUUUCUGAAAACUAAACAAAUUAAAGCAUCUUACCCCCUAGUUUUAGGUUGGGGUGACCACGGAGAAAAAAUCAACCUCCACGCUGUAAGAAGCCUCCCAUCUUCUAAGCUGAGAGUUACAUCUCUAAGCAUCAACACAUUGACUCCCAUUGACCCAAUAAUUUGAUCAACGAACCAAGUUACCCUAGGGAUAACAGCGCAAUCUACUUUGAGAGCUCAUAUCGACAAGUAGGUUUACGACCUCGAUGUU
This 429-nucleotide ribosomal RNA is filed under the name Ranitomeya uakarii (Duellman's poison dart frog). RNAcentral's name for it is "partial 16S ribosomal RNA". It matches the Rfam family "Bacterial large subunit ribosomal RNA", at positions 1957 to 2533 of the family's 2925-position model. Lineage: Eukaryota; Metazoa; Chordata; Amphibia; Anura; Dendrobatidae. The record is from RNAcentral.